Bufo bufo (common toad) is the source of this 220-nucleotide long non-coding RNA. RefSeq lists it as uncharacterized. The transcript is spliced from 3 exons. The record is from RefSeq and is a predicted model, not a curated record. Lineage: Eukaryota; Metazoa; Chordata; Amphibia; Anura; Bufonidae.
GGACACAGGCUGGAAGAGGCCUGCAUCGCAUCGCAUCGCUGACAUAGAGGAUAAAACACAACAUCAGCUCCGCCGAGCCCCCAGCCAAAGUGUUGAAGUGGCGUCCGAGAUCGCCAAGGGCCAAGCCAUGUAACUGUAAGUUCUCAUGUGAAAUAUGUUUGUUAUACACAUAUAGCAUACACUGUGCCGCACAAUAUACAGUUUCUUCUACAAUGUGCCC